UCUCAGGCUGUGACCUUCUCGAGG
Molecule: microRNA, 24 nt
Filed under: Pongo abelii (Sumatran orangutan)
Lineage: Eukaryota; Metazoa; Chordata; Mammalia; Primates; Hominidae
Source: RNAcentral